UACAGAGGGUGCGAGCGUUGUCCGGAAUCACUGGGCGUAAAGGGCGCGUAGGGGGCCCUUCAAGUCUGUCGUCAAAGUCCGGGGCUUAACCCUGGAAAGGCGAUGGAAACUGAAAGGCUAGAGAGAGGUAGGGGUAGAGGGAAUUCCCAGUGUAGCGGUGAAAUGCGUAGAGAUUGGGAAGAACAUCGGUGGCGAAGGCGCUCUACUGGACCGCAUCUGACACUCAGGGACGAAAGCUAGGGGAGCAAAUGGG
RNAcentral lists this ribosomal RNA (253 nucleotides) under uncultured bacterium. RNAcentral describes it as "partial 16S ribosomal RNA". It matches the Rfam family "Bacterial small subunit ribosomal RNA", at positions 524 to 776 of the family's 1533-position model. The record is from RNAcentral.